This 253-nucleotide ribosomal RNA is filed under the name uncultured bacterium. RNAcentral's name for it is "partial 16S ribosomal RNA". It matches the Rfam family "Bacterial small subunit ribosomal RNA", at positions 524 to 776 of the family's 1533-position model. The record is from RNAcentral.
UACGUAGGGUGCAAGCGUUGUCCGGAAUUAUUGGGCGUAAAGAGCUCGUAGGCGGUCUGUCACGUCGGCUGUGAAAACCUGGGGCUCAACCCCGGGCCUGCAUCCGAUACGGGCAGACUAGAAUUCGGUAGGGGAGACUGGAAUUCCUGGUGUAGCGGUGGAAUGCGCAGAUAUCAGGAAGAACACCCGUGGCGAAGGCGGCUCUCUGGGACGGUACUGACGCUGAGACGCGAAAGCGUGGGGAGCGAACAGG